Long non-coding RNA from Sphaeramia orbicularis (orbiculate cardinalfish), 1390 nucleotides. RefSeq lists it as uncharacterized. The record is from RefSeq and is a predicted model, not a curated record. The transcript has 2 exons. Lineage: Eukaryota; Metazoa; Chordata; Actinopteri; Kurtiformes; Apogonidae.
UUCGUCUUUUUUGGCAUAUCUUUACCUUUUUCUAACUCUUUUUCUGUCUCAGGGAAACGCACAAGAAUUCCAAUGUACCUAUGCUGCUGUGUAUCUGUGCAAAUGACAAAGUUUAUUCUGUUCUAUUUUACAUUGACGAAUCAGAACGCUGUAUACUGACAUCACCAACCAAUCAGCAGGCGCCUUCUUGUCACUCCAGGAAAUGCCAGCCAUGGUUUGUGUUUACUUGGUGUUGCGGUGAGAGCAGAGAUGAGCCGUGCCUCUUUUGCUCCAUGAAGCAUGUGAACAAAACUGAAUUCUACUCCAUGUUAGACAGUGGAUUUUGGCAGAGAUUUCCAUCAUCUCUAUACUUAUGGUCGGUUUGAGAUAAAAGCUACCGGAGUUUAUAUCUCUGGAUGUCGCGGUGCUCCCUGCUAUAGUUAGCCGGCAUCGUAGCUGCUAGUUAGCACGCAGCUAACUACCAUGCAGUGAAGCGGAGACGGCGACGUGAGCUUUUAUUGAUUUACUUUUCAAUCAUUGUGAACAUGCUCCGGCUGUUUUGUAAAGCUAAAUGUUAAUAUUUUUAUUCCCAUGUCACCUGCUGCUACAAAGUGGAUUGAAAUUCGGUUGCGUGAGCUGUGCUAACCUCCAUUAGCAAAGCUAUAUCCAGCCUUCUAUUCUGGCCGGGUCUUUUUGUUAUCCCAGUUUGUUGUCAGCGCUGGAUUUGUCUUGCUCUUGGAGUGGAUUUGUGCUGCUGUUCCACUGAACUACAGUUAGUGGCCGCAGAGGACAGCAGUAGUGGUGGUCCAACCCAACUAUUGAAUCUGACUGAACUGCUGUUCUUUCCUGUUGCUUCCACCUGGAGAUCUGGUAGGACUGGUCUUUACUAGAGACCCAGAGGAUUUAGUGGUGAACUGAGAAUCCUAACUCUCUGCCCCCCCCCCCCCCCCCCCCUUUUUUUUUUUUCUUUUUUCUUUUUUCAUUGGACUGAAAAAAAAAAAAAAAACAAACCUUCAUUUAUAACUGGUUACUGUGAAGUGUAAAUUGAUUGUAUUCUCUUGUUUUUUUUUUUUUUGUUUUCUGUUCAUAGAUAUUUCAUGUUUUCUAUGAGUUAUGCGCUCUAAUGUUCAACUGGAGCUGACGGGCUGUUCCAACUAGUCUGCCUCAAGGUUAAAAGUUACUAAAUUUCAUCUAACAAGCUAAAAGGGUUAAUCAGAUGAAGUGUGUGUUGUUAAAAAUAGAUCAUAAAUAGAUGAUACUUAUGUUCAUUUCAAUAAUAAAUAUGAAUUAGAUAGUGAUAAGUCAAUUACAAUAACAAAUAGACACUAACUGUAAAAAAAAAAAAAAAAAAAAAAAGCUCAUUUGAGUAGCAAACUAGUUAAAAUAGGGUUUUUAGUAUAAAGUGUGCAUA